This is a non-coding RNA of Henosepilachna vigintioctopunctata, 73 nucleotides long. NCBI's taxonomy places the organism in Eukaryota, Metazoa, Arthropoda, Insecta, Coleoptera, Coccinellidae. The record is from the annotation of a GenBank genome assembly.
GUCUUCGUAGCUUAGUCGGUAGAACACCCGAUUAUGGUACGGUAGAACGCGGGUUCGAGCCGUGCUGAACGCA